UGUAUCCCAAGCAGCAAAGAGAAAAAAAAGAAGUUGAACACAGCACCCCAGGCAGGAGGUGAUCAAAGGGAAAAAAAGGGUUGAUCGAGGGUUGAAAGCUAUAGUUCGUCAUUGCUCGGAGGUCGGAGGUCGGAUGGAAGUCGGAGAUCGGAGCUUUCUCCAGGCUGAAGGCAGUAAGUUAAAAGAUGGAUGUAGUGCGCGCUCUCGGUGAACGGUGGAAAGAAAGUCGUGAGCCCUGUUAAAGAUCUUCUGGGGGCCGAGAGGUUCGGAUCUGAUAACCCGCUGUUCUGGUCUGACGUCUGAUAAUUGUUUUAACCUUCCCAUGACGUGAAAGUAGGGGAGAUAAAAGAUAGAAACUUCGGACUACUUUCACUUGACGAUCGCCUAGAGAUGGGUUAGGGGUAUUUAGUAAGGGCGCAGCAGUUGGAGAGGUGAGGAGGCCGCUGUGGCUGCGACGACAGACUUUUGUUCGUCGUUCGUUUCAUUUCUUUCUUUCUCUGUUCCUGCUUUCUGCUCCACUCAUUCUUAUUAGAACAGCCGCUGGUUAGUCACCAUUGACGCAACUAGGAAUUGAUCCCGGGAGUUCGAACACAAGGACGGCGAGCAGCCUCUUUCUCAUUCUCAUUUCCUACUACAAACUACAUAUGCUGGCGACGAGCGAACAGGCUAUCGGUAUUACUAAGGUCAAAGAUACCAGAAGGUGAAAGAACCUAUCUGUAUUGCGGGUUGUAAAGUGUACUAUUAACGACGUGGAUUCAAUACUCAGCAGGUUCUCGGAAUCAUCAUGUAAUAUCAAAUCAAACAGUAAUUAACCACCUUAAAACUGUUGCAGAAUAUACAUAAAAAUUACGCAGAACGUCCUCCCCUCUGUAAUCAUACAUGCAGCGCUGCCCAAG
Molecule: small RNA, 896 nt
Filed under: Cryptococcus neoformans H99
Lineage: Eukaryota; Fungi; Basidiomycota; Tremellomycetes; Tremellales; Cryptococcaceae
Description: Cryptococcus neoformans var. grubii H99 hypothetical RNA
Source: RNAcentral